RNAcentral lists this transfer RNA (66 nucleotides) under Strahlaxius plectrorhynchus. Its description in RNAcentral is "tRNA-Phe". The record is from RNAcentral. Lineage: Eukaryota; Metazoa; Arthropoda; Malacostraca; Decapoda; Strahlaxiidae.
AUUCAUAUAAUUAAAUUUAUAAUAUCACAUUGAAGCUGUGAAAGUGAUCUUAAAGAUCUAUGAAUA